CUUCUUAUGCUUUCCUCCACGAUAUGAGCUUAUUAAAUAUCCCUUUCAUGUAUCUUGACUUAAGUUCAUUCCUUCCCUACAUAUUAAUUUAAGAAGGUGAGCUGGCUUAAGUAGGUGCUCAGUAGUAAAAACAUUUCUUAGACGUCUUUUCCUUAGUUUAGCGGCCCACAAGGCCAACUCCCAUCUCUUUUGCUCAUCGGCCCAAUCCAUUGCUAGCACCUCGAAAUUAGUAUAGUCAGGGCCUCACCAGUCACACCCAAUCUGUCUUGAAAUCUGGUAAUCGUCACAGAGAAACCAACACCCUGCCACAAUUUUAUGGCCUUAACAACUCUCAUUUCCAUAGUCUCCCAUGCAGCUUGGCAGUUAGUAG
Molecule: non-coding RNA, 370 nt
Organism: Pelobates cultripes (western spadefoot toad)
Lineage: Eukaryota; Metazoa; Chordata; Amphibia; Anura; Pelobatidae
Source: the annotation of a GenBank genome assembly